AAAAGAAACAAGGGGGAGAGGGGGGCUGACAUUCACAACUUAUCUAAAAAGCAUGAAAAUAGAAUGAUUAAAUUCCACCAAAGGCAAUUAUAAAUCCCAACUUCCCAUAAAGCGUUCCCUACACCAAACGGAGUACCUUUACUUUCAUUCCCCCAAAGUAAGUAAUCUGGGCUAAGAGUCGGAUAAUGAGUCUGAUGUGUCCGACACAAAAUGAGACGAAGGAACCGAACUGAAGCUACAGAGGCAAAGAAAUGUCACCCAAAGGGGAGAGGAAAGCUGGAAGAGAAACCCGAGAAGGGAACGGACAGAAGAGACUUGACCAGUGGAGCAAAGGAGUGGGAAUCACUUCAAGGGAGGCAGCCUUCAGGACUGCGGAGAAACGGGGAUCUAGGUCCACGGAACCGGGCGUUUACGGAACUCGAAGGCUAAUGGGGAAACAAUGGGGCGGUGAGACCGGGAGCAAGCCGAGAGACGCUCAGGAGAGGGCGACUAGGCAGCACGGGACGGGGGUGGGGGUCGUAUGAAAGAGCAGAAGGCUGCAGUGGACAGAGGCGGCAGGGAGGUGAAAAGCUACGUGGAGAGCCAAGUUGGUCGAGUGUAUUGGGGUUUCGUGGCGCAACCGGCAGGAAAGCGAGGGUCUUCUAGGUACCCGGGGGUGGGGGAGUGGCUUAUCAGGGAUUUUUAGACAGGCAACGGAAGCCGUGAAGGCAGGUGUGAUGGAAGCAAAAAGCACACACCUCGGAGCAGCACAGGACCCGCCGUGCCAGACAAGACGACGGGAAGGAAGAGGCAGCUGAAGGGACCAUGGUGAACCAUGUGGAAUUGCUGAUGCUGGGUGAAACCAGAAUAUGAAGAUACUCUAAACUGAUUUUCGGCACAUUUAGAAUGGAAGAAUAAUAGGCAAAUGGCUUCAUCUGGGCCUCAAAUUCCUCUUCUGCAAAGGAAGAAGAUUGAGAAGGGCUCCAAAUUGCAAGUCCUUUGGCUGUCCAAAGCCAGAGAGAAUAAAAUCCUCCCAUCCUUAGCCUGACUCUUGAAAGUAGCUGAGCAGAGACAUGCCGUUGUUCGAACGUGGAUGGAAGAACCUGGUGCUCUGCAUGAACACCGAAGCUUCCCCAGACUCCUGAGAAGCUGGCGGGACUCACUGCACUCAGCACAUGAGAGGAGACCUCUCCCCUUCACUCAAGGUUGGCCUCACUUGGAGCAGUUGCAGAUUGAGAGACAGAGUUCUUGGCCUUAGUACUUAAGACUCUUGACACCUGAAAGUCAUCAUUCCAGUUGGAAUGAAAGCAACGUGGAACAAAUAGGUGUGGAGGGAUCAGCAAGCCAGGAAACAAAGACCAACAUGGCAACAACAACUCUCCGCAUGUGUGCAGCAUUUCCUGGUUCUCUGGCACUUCCUUACAUUAUUUGUUUUAAUCCUUACAACAGGCUGAGGGGUGGUAACAUUUAAAAGUGUAGAAAUGAAGCUUCAAGGAGUUAAGUGACUCGCCCAAGGCCUCCUUGUUGGUAAACAUAGACCGGAGGGAAUUGAAUUGAGGUCUCUCUGACUCCAAAGUCUAAGCUCUUAAACACUCAUGCUAAUCAUUAACCGCACUUGCCUAACCGUUCAAUCUGUUCUUGGCCAUCAAUACUGGACACUAAAUUCUAAACACGUUCUGCAUUUUAUUUAUUACUUUAUUUUUAUUUAUGUAAAAGCUAAAUGUAUAGUUCUCAUCCUGUAAGAUGAACACUAUCGUUCUCAACUAAUCUUUUUUUUUUUUUUUUUUAAGAUUUUAUUUAUUUGACAGAGAGAGAGAGAUCACCAGUAGAGAGAGAGGCAGGCAGAGGGAGGAGGAAGGAGGCUCCCUGCUGAGCAGAGAGCCCAGGACCCUGAGAUCACGACCUGAGCGGAAGGCAGAGGCUUAACCCACUGAGCCACCCAGGCACCCCUCAACUAAUCUUUUAGCUGUCAGCAGAAGUCUGGGCUAACAACCUGCUCUAGAUAAUAUACAGGGAUAUCUGGACUCUUCAUCUUCAAACUGUCAAUCUUACUGAAGAAACUGAUGCCCAGAAUGCGCAGACCAGAUAAGCAGCAGCCGUUACAGACUUGAGUCUGAUGAAAAAUACUACGUAUUUCGUUUAUAUUCAUAGGUUGUGUUAUGGCUAACAGGCAUGCCAUAUAUAUGAUUGUAUUUGAUCCUAAGGAAAAUUGUGAGGUAGAUAAGGUAAAAAGUAAUAGUAUCUCUAUUAUACAGAUUCAGAGGCACACCCAGAAUUAUUAUCUUAUUAAAUUCUAGUCUUGAGAAUCCAAAUCCCAAAUAAAUGAACGUCUAGCCCUUUUAACUCUUCAGUAAUACAGCUGGGACUGAGGUCAAAUCUUGACUCUACCACACAUCUGUCUGAGCCUUCAGUUUUCUCCUCUGUCAGAUAAGGGAUGAGGAUGUCUAUCUCAUAGGAUUGUGAAACUAGAUGAAGUAAUGUAAGUAAAGCCCUUUCAAUCAAGUAGUGAACAGAACAGAUGCAGAUCCCAUCCUCAUGGACCUGGAUGGGGAGGGGGGUGGUGAAAAAACAAAUGGGCGGUGAUUACAUAACUUGACGAUGAAGUUACAAGAAUCGUUAAGUGUUGUAAAAGGAAAAGACAGAAUGCUCUGUAGACAUACCGUAGGGUGAGCUAGCCUCCGCUGUAGUGGGGAGCAGGCCUCCCCAGGCAGUGAUCACUAAGCUGGGUCCUGAAGGAUGAGUGGCAGUCAGUGAAGUUGGGGGGAAGGCGUGGGGAGAGGGGGGUACAGGUGUGGGUUGUAGCAGAGAGUAUUCCAGGCAUGAAGGGCAUCACCGAUGAAGAAGCUUGGUGGCCUUGAAGAUCAAAGAAAUGACUUCUGUGGCUGGAGUGUAAGGAGCUUCAGGAAGAACAAUGUGUAAAGAUGCUGGAGAAAUAGGCAAUCUCCAGGCUAUGUGGAGCCUCACAAGACAAGCUAAAAUUAUUGAACUUUAACCCAUGAGAUGUCAUGGAAGGGGUUUAAGCAAGGGGCGGCAUCAGGCGAGAAGUUUAAAAAGUCCAGUUCUGAACUAGGGAAAGUUGCAUCUUUUUAAAAGCUUUCUUUUCUUUUUUAAAAAUAAACACCUCUUUCACACCCCUUAUAUUGCAACAGUGAUAUAGACUGUGCGUUUGAAAUAUAAAAUGAAAAGAUUUAGACUGGGGCAAGUAGCAGCUCCUCCCUCUACUACUUUCAGGAUCCAGGACAAAUCACUGCAAAGCCUAUCUCUGCUCUUGCUACCUAAUACAGUUUCCUCUCUAAGCAAAAGUUAUCUUGUAGAUCUUUAAAGUACUUUGAGAACCAGGGUACACACUUCUAGGAAGCUCAUUUAUUCAUUGUUUGUAUGUGUUUCUUAAAGAUUUUAUUUAUUUACUUAACAGAGAGAGAGAGACAGACAGAGAGGGAACACAAGCAGGGGGAGUGGGAGAGGGAAGAGCAGGCUUCCCACUAAGCAGGGAGCCUGAUGCGGCACUCGAUCCCAGGACCCUGGGAUCAUGACCUGAGCUGAAGGCAGCUGCUUAAUGAGUGAGCCACCCAGGUGCCCCUAUUCAUUGUUUUUGUUGAACAAAUAUUUAUUAAGCAUCAGCCAUAUGGCUAGCAUAAUAUUAGGUCCUGGGGGUUCAGAGGUGGAUAAGAUACAGACCCUGUACUUUAAAAACUCACAGUUAGGGGUGGACAUAGGCCAGAAAAAAAAAAAAAAUAAGUAGUCACUUUGUUGUACACCUGAAACUACAUUGUGUAUCAACUAUACUCCAAUUUAAAAAUAUUUAAACAAAAUAAAAAGGGAUGGAAGAAAAUACAUACAUACAUACAUACAUACAUACAUACAUAAAAAGUAAUGACAAUAAAGUAGGAUCUACUACAAGAGAAGCAGCAGGGAUAGAGUUAUUUACAGAACCUAGAGUCAGGGGAAAUUUUCAGUAGAGCUGAUAUGCACAUAGUAUGUGCUUAAUACAUGUUAAGUAAUUGAAUGAAAAGUUUGAGCUGUCUUUACCUCCCAAUUUUAAUGAUAUGUGAUUGGCAUAUAACACUAUGAAUUUAAGAUCUACUAUGUGUUGAUUUGAUAUACUUCCAUAUUGCAAAUAAUUACUACCAUGACACUGGGUUUUUUUAUAUUUAAUUUAUUUAUUUAGAGAGAGAAUGUAAGGAGCGGGGAAGGCAGAGAGAGAGAGGAGAAUCUCAAGAAGACUCUGUGCAGAGUGCAGAGCCUAACACGGGGCUAGAUCUCACAACCUUGACACAAUGGCCUGAGCAGAAAUCGACUCUGGACGCUCAACUGGCUGAGCCCCCCAGGCACCCCUACUACAAUAACAUUAUUGAACUGAGUCGUAAAGGUUGAAGGGAAGCCUACCAGACAAUAAGAGGAGAAGGGAAUGAGUAAGAUCACAGAUACCAUAAAAGUGACUUUUUCAGAUUACUUUAUCAGCAAUCAGCUAGAUAGUUUGAAAGGGAGAGAUUGUAGUUAAAGAGACCAAGUGAAAACCUGGGGCAAUAAUCCAGGUGAAAGGUACAAAGGAUUUAUUGUUCACUCAGGAAUAAUGUUGGUUGUACUCAGUUUGCUUGACAAUAAGUUUUACUUGGUAGUACAGUGUCUGGCUUGUAAGUGUUAAUACAUCUUCCCAUAAUGGAUGUCUGCUCGCCUUCACAAGUCAUCUACUGUCAUCUACUGAAUGUCAUCUACUGAAAUCCUUAUAAUACCUAAUACUAUGCUCUGUAUCCAUGUGCACUCAUCAAAAGUUGGGUUGACAGUUGGGUUCACUGGGCUGCGGUGGGAGUGGGGCAGUUGGAACAAGAGAAGUGGGAGAGGACUCCCCAUCUGCUGUGCCCCACAGGCAUUCUUCCUUCCUGUAAAGCAACAUCUUAAACUCAGCCGAACCUGCUUCUUAUUUUUCCCCAAAGGCCUGGUAUGCCCUUUCUCUUGUUCAGACGCAUCCAUCCAUCCUAGCUAAGAAACCUCAAGAUAAUAUUGGAAGCCAAGAACAAAGCUAGGGGAAAACAAAAAUCAUUUUUCAGACUUUUAAGAACUAUGCUUUUCCCUGCAGGAUCUUCAAAAGAGUUUUUCUUCCCAUUCACACAUAGAAAGAAGUCAGUGAUCCUAAGAUUCAACAAUGCCACUUCUCUGAAUCUACCCUAAAGAAACACCCCCAAGUGUACACAAAGAAGCAUGUAUAAACAUAUUUUAUGGACGAGACAAAAAGUAGAAAGAGCCUAAAAGUCAGUUCAUCCAACACAUGCUAAUAAACCAUGUUCUGUUCAGGACAAAAUACUAGACAACAGCUAAAAUAAAUAGAUCUGUAAGUAUUAAUAUAGAAAGCACUCCAGAAUUGAUUGUUUAAGUGAGAAAGGCAGUUUGAAGAAUGAUAGGUCUUGUAUUAUACCACUGGUGUAAAGAAUAACCACCAAUGAACCAACAACCCAAAAUAGUAGUUUAUUUCUUAUAGCUAUAUAUAUAUGCACUAAAUGCAUGAAAAAUGGUCUGGGAGAAUAUGUACAAAAAUAUAUACAAAUCUGGUAACAGUCGUUACCUCUAGGAAGGUGGGAUGAGAACCAGAACUGGAAAUGAUGGUCAAAGAAAUUUAGUGUUCUCUGUAUUUAAAUUUUUCUCACAAGUGUGAUAGUGCAUUUAUGAUUUAAUGAAAGAAUUUUUUAAGGUAAGAAAAUCAUUAAGGAUGCGCAGUACUAUUUUUAGUAGUGAGAAGUUGAACUACCUAAUAGCAAUAGAAAUACCAUUAAAUCAAUCAUGGUAUAAUCCACAUGGCAGAAUUUAAUAAAUGUACAUUUUUAUGUUUGCAGAUAUAAAGAAGUUAGUAAUUUAUAGUUCCAUUUAUAAGGAACUAUAUACUAAUUAUGAUGUUCUGAAUUAUCCCACUUUUGUUAACAAAUACAUACACAAAAAAGUUGGAGAUAAUUUUUUUAUAAAAGGUUUAUAGUUGUUUCUAUAUCAGUGGGAUUCUGGUUGUGUUUUGCUUCCAUAUACCCUAAUUCUUCCCUAAGGAAUAAGUAUGUAAAUAAGAAAAUUCUAUGCAUUUUUUUUUAAGAUUUUAUUUAUUUAUUUGUAAGAGAGAGAGAGUGAGAGCGAGCACAGGCAGACAGAGUGGAAGGCAGAGUCAGAGGGAGAAGCAGGCUCCCCGCGGAGCAAGGAGCCCGAUGCGGGACUCGAUCCCAGGACGCUGGGAUCAUGACCUGAGCCGAAGGCAGCUGCUUAACCAACUGAGACACCCAGGCGUCCCGAAAAUUCUAUGCAUUUUUAAAAAUGUAAACAAAAUGAGGGAAUUGAACCGGGAGAAAGGUAAGAGAAAAAAAUGCGUACUGGUGGAUGGGGUUAAGAAAGUAGGAAAAAGAUGUUUGAGGAUUUUUUUAAAGAGCUUUUUUUCCAGAGAGUUAAGGGGAAAAAUAUUUUUGUUCUCAGACUUUUUCAGUAUACUUUCCAAGCCAUCAAGUUCCUAAAUAUAACCAAAGAUGAUGAUUUUAUAAGCAAGCCAAUAUAAACAUAGAUGUUUAUAUUUCUACAUUAACAACAUGACAUUGGAGCUGCAAAAGUUCUUUCGAAUUGGCUAUAUUUUAUUUUUCUAAAAAAAUGAGUCCUCCUUUUGAGUCCCCUUUUAAAAUAUAACACUACCCCCACCCCACCAUGGCUUUGAAUUUCAAGAAAAGUCAGAAUAAGACAGCAGCAUUUAGGAUGGAGGACAGAGGAGUGGAGGAGCAGGAGGGAGGUGGAGGGUUAAUUAAGCAUUUGAGCAGGAAGGAGACGAGGAGGACUUUUUGAAGAGGCUUACCUCAAAGUAGCACUGCUUUAAUGUGUAUUAGGAUCAUCUAGGGAUCUGGUGAAAGUGCAAGUCUGGAAUGGGACGGGACUCCCGGGUGAUGCCUAGGCUGCUGGGCCGUGGGAGCAGCAAGGCCUUGGAGUCAGGGAAUUUGCCCUUCCACGCUGGUCCAUCUGUGUUUCACUGGCCAUGACUUCUUUCUUUCUAACCUGAAAUUUUUUGGUCAGGAUACCAAAUAGCAGAAACUUGUAAGAAAAUCAUAUUACCAUAUACAAGGUACAGUUUAAGGCCCUCUGCCUGGAAGUGAGGAAAAUGGGAAACAGGAUAGGGAAUGGGCAGGAGCUGCUAAGACAAAUGUUUUUUGUUAUAAAGGGUGCGGUGUUGUGGAAAAAGCCCUGGACGGGUUGUCAGAAGACCCGGCAUCAUUAACCAGCAGUGUGCCUUUGUGCCAGUCAUUUCUCUCCAGUUUUCUGUCUCCUUUCUUGUCAAAAGAAUUGGUCUAGGGGUGCCUGGGUGGCUCAGUUGGUUAAGCAGCUGCCUUCGGCUCAGGUCAUAAUCUCAGGGUCCUGGGAUCGAGCCCCACCAUCAGGCUUCCUGCUCAGUGGAGAGCCUGCUUCUCCCUCUCUCUCUGCCUGCUUGUGCUCUUUCUCUCUCUGUCAAAUUAAAAAAAUAAGUAAAAUCUUAAAAAAAAAAAAAAAAAAAAAAAAAGAUGGUCUAGAUGGCUUCUAAAAUCUUUUUGGCUCUGACACUUGAGGAAUCUAUAAAGAGAGCCUGUAUCAAUAGGAGGGAAGGAACAAGGAUGUGCCACCACACACAGAGCUGCCAAGGAUCCUGUACAUGUGGUAUUAUAAUGGAAGAAUUUUCCCCUUGUCUGCCCAGAUGCAGAAAUGUUGGAGUGAGAGACUGGGAAACAUGCCUAGUAUGAAAUCCUAGUACCCUGACUUCCUGGUUUUGGCAGUUUAAAGUCUUGGGAAUCUGUCCCAGGCUCUGUAAAGUAAGACAGACCAUGAAAACAGGCCCUCUAAGAACUUCAGUGUGACUCUGGCAGCCUUCAUAUUCUAAGGUCUUCUAUCCUUGGGGCUACCCUCAGGUUUCACCUCAUUCCCCUACACUGAUCAGCAGCCAAAUUCUAAAGCCACUUGAGCUUACAGUCCCAGCCAAAUGGCCCUACUGCCUUCCUGUUUGUGAAAGCCUCCAAUUCCCAGCCUGUGGUCAAAUCCAAUUUUUGCAGCAACUCAAUCUUCCCCCAAGAUCACCCUCUGGACUUGAGUCUCCCAGAUGCUGCAGACUCUCUCUGGGCCUAUAGCAGCCAAGCCUAAGGGAAUUGGAAAGGCCAGACCAAGGCGACACUUGGUUCUCUAUGUUAAAAAUAGUCCUCUGCUCCGAGUGGGGCUCGGCCCCUAGUUUGAUAAGCACAGGGUGGGAAACGGACCUGCUGUGGUGAGAUUACCCAGACUCUGCGGCAAUCUGCUACAGUUUGGCCUCACACCUCCACAGACCUGCCCUCUUCACCUUUUCACUUACUCAACAGGCCUAUGGCUAUUCUAGCAAAGACUCUGGCUUUAGGCUGCUUCCUGCGGUCUAAGGGCAGGUGGCCUCCUUCGCUGUUCCUGAGACCCCGUACCCAAGAAGACAGGAGAGCUUGGCUCCCUGAAGCAUCCAUUUGGGAUGCCAGGACCCUGUGGGCAGCAAGAGGAGUUAUUUUUCCCUCCGGCCCCAGCCUAGGCUAUGCUGAAUGAUGCGGCUGGCUAGUACAAAGACUGCUUUUUAUAAUGUUGGUCCUUGGUAUUUUUGGUGUCUGGAGAGAGCUUCCUCUCCUCCCACAGUUAAUUAGCAGCAGAGGAGCAUUUCCCUUUCCUCAACAGAGAGUCUGUUCCUGCCCCUGGGGCUGGACAGAGGGGUGGCAGGUGUGGCUAAGCACUGCCUGAGGUUAACCUCAAACGUCAGCUUAGAGCCACACUUGAGGAGAAGCAAAGGGAAAUGCGGGGUUAGCUUCUACUGGGACAGAGUUGGCAAGUGCGCACAGGUCCCUGGCAAGCCAGGGGAUUGUUUUCCACUCUCCCAGUCAGGUGAGGGGACAGGAGAAGGGGGUGGGGAACCAAUGUGUGUUUGACACAUUUGUGAAUUGUUCCUAUAACAAAGGCUUUAAAAAAAACACACACACACAUAACAGAGUGGAGCUUUAUAUAUGUGAAUGAGAGGCUCACAGAAGGACCUAUUGUCAGGAGGAAAAAUUGCAUGAGUAAUUGUGCAUGACUUCAGUCUUCCCAGUUGAAAUGUUAGGCGUAUUAAGGAUGAUUGUGGACAUUCCAGUGUUUCAGUGUGGGGAAGAGGGAGGAAGGAACCCCUUGGAGGUGAGGAGGCAGGUUGUCUAGCAAGGCAGUGGAGACAGGAACCUAAAAUGCUCUUCCUCCACUUUUCUUGCUGGUUCCCAUUCUUUCUCUACUUAAUUAGGGUACCACCUCCUACGGGAAGGCUUCCUGCACGUACCUCCUCUCACCUCCCACUUUAGGUGUUCUUGAUAGGUACCUACUGUUUUAUCAUUAUUUACUAGACCAUGAUACUACUGAUAGUUUGUAGAACAGUGUGCAUGCAUCCCAGGACCGUAUUCCACCACUUCCUAAAUGUGUAACUCUAGCCGAAUUACUUCAUCUCUGUGUCUCAGUUUCCUCAUCUGUAAAUGGGAGUAAUACCUACCUUCUAGAGUUGUUAUGAGGAUUAAAUGUGUUAAGAUAUAUAAGACACAUAGAACAGUGCCUGACAUGGUGUGCACUCAAUAAAUAUUAGCAAUUGUCAUUUUUACUUGUAUCCCCAGUAGUUAACACAAUUUGUAAUAUAUCAUGGGACAGUGGUUUUUCAACUCUCAUAUACAUCGUCACUGCUUGAGAAGCUUUAAAAUUAUAUGAAUCUGGGCUCCAUUGGUCUGGAGUGAAAACUGAUCUCGGUAUUUGAGAAAAGUUCCCAGGUAGUUUUAGUACACAUCCAAAGUCAUAGAUGCUCAGUGAAUAGGUGAAUAGAUGAAUGACAUGGGAUCAGAAGGAACCGAUCCAUAGGGCACCAUCCUUAGGAAUGUCAAAGCAUGAUUCUGUCCCCUUCAGAAAAUUUGCUAUUUCCUAAGGCUGACUUCCAGAGAAUGUGACAGUGAAUCUAAUGGAGUACAUGAAAGAAUAUAAUUUUCACCAUCUCAACAUACUGCUCUGUUGAAGAAACAGAAAAACAAUUUGCUAGAACUAAUAUUAGAGAUCAAUAGGUAUUUCCUCUUGUGCUCUCUUUUGUUUAUGCAGACUUAUUGCUCAGAGAGUUGCCAUAACAACUCCAACCAGAGCUGAACUUUGACCUUUCCUCCAGUUAUAGUUUCCACUCACCACCAAGUCAUUAGUUCAGUGGACUUAAGAAAACAUUUAAAUACCUCAAAUAAAGCAUUUCUGCCCCUAUAAUGCACAGUUGUACUAUGUUGUUAUCAUAACAUACUAUAAUUAGUUGCUUUAUUGAGUUGGUUUACAAAAUUUCAACUGACUGCUGCUUGUAAAACAGGAAGUCAGGCAUCUCUCUAUAGGAAUAAUGAACUAUAGCCAGGCCUUACUCUCAAGGCACGUAUAUAUUAAUGGGGGAACAUAAAUAUAAAUGUACUGAAAACUAGAGAAAAUGAAUAUACAUUUAAAUAGUAUGUAGCAUGAUAAAGUGGGCUUGGAAUCAGGUUUAGGCCUAUUUCGUAUUAGCUGCCUGACCUCAAUUAAUUCAGUUAACCUUCCUGAAUUUUAGCUCCCUCCUCAACCGAAUGUGGAUUCUGAUGCCUCUGUCACAGGAUUGUUGUGAGACUUCAAAGUGAUACUAUACAUAAGUGUCUGGCACUUUUUAGUAAAUGAAAUUAUUUUAAUGAACAAAGAGCUGUAUUCGAGCAGCACAAUUUGUCGUCAGAAUUUCAUUAUCAAGAGGAGAUAUGAUAGGGGCACCUGGGUGGCUCAGUCCAUUAAGCAUCUGCCAGGGUCCUGGUAUCAAGCCCCAUAUCGGGCUCCCUGCUCAGUGCAGAGUCUCCCCCUGCUUGUGCUCUCUCUCUCUCACUUGCUGUGUCUCUCUGUCAAAUAAAUAAAUAAAA
Molecule: long non-coding RNA, 10874 nt
Organism: Mustela lutreola (European mink)
Lineage: Eukaryota; Metazoa; Chordata; Mammalia; Carnivora; Mustelidae
Exons: 4
Source: RefSeq, a predicted model, not a curated record